Non-coding RNA from Paramuricea clavata, 1201 nucleotides. Lineage: Eukaryota; Metazoa; Cnidaria; Anthozoa; Malacalcyonacea; Plexauridae. The record is from the annotation of a GenBank genome assembly.
CGGGAAAAUAAUUCAAGACACAGCCACGGGCAUUCUUGUGGUCCCCGACUGGCCAACACAGAGCUGGUAUCCCCUCCUACUUCAAUUUCUAGUGAAGCCUCCACAUCGUCUAUUGCCCAAAGCCGACCUCUUAGUCUUACCAUCAGACCGGGACCACAAACAUCCUCUCCACAAGAACUUGAACAUUCUUAUUUGUCAUGUAUCAGGAAUAAACUACAAGUGAGGGGUUUCGCCACCGAUACAAUUGACAUUAUUCUCUGUUCUUGGCGAAAGGGAACUAAGACGCAAUAUCAGUCAACUGCAAAGAAAUGCCGGGUUUGAUUUUUGUCAGAAAAACAACUGUGAUAUCAUUUCACCACCUUUGCCUCAGGCAUUGUCAUUUCUGUCCGACAGUUAUUCAAAUCUGGUUUGUCGUACAGUUCUAUUAAUACUGCUGGAAGUGUUCUUUCUUCAAUUUUGUCCUAGGAGAGCAAUCCUACUCCCUUCGGCCAACUGCCCAUCGUUAAACGCUUUAUGAAAGGUGUAUAUGAGUCCCGACCGUCUCUGCCAAGGUAUUGCUCCACAUGGAAUGUCAAUACUGUCUUCAAUUAUUUAAGACGUCAGCAAGCACCAUCAUUAUUAUCCAUGAAAGAUCUCAGUCAAAGAGUUGCUUUUCUCUUAGCCCUUCUCAGCGGACAGAGAUGCCAAACAAUCGGUAAAUUAUCAAUAGACAAUAUGACAAUGAAAGAGACAAAAAUCACUUUUUUAAUAGCAGAUAAAUUAAAACAUUCUAGGCCUGGUGUUCAUCAACAGCCACUAGUUUUUAUGGCGUAUGUUGCUGAUCAAAAAUUGUGUAUCCUAACAUAUUUACAGGAAUUUUUAAAACGAACAUCACCCGUUCGUGGUGACAACAAGCAGCUUCUUAUCAGUUUCGUGAAACCUUACAAACCCAUCUCAACGGAAACAAUCUCGCACUGGAUAAAAAACUUCAUGACAACUGCUGGUGUUGAUACUACACAAUAUAAGAGUCAUAGUACAGAGCAGCAUCAACAUCUCAUUUAGCAUCCCAACAAUUUGACCUUAAAGAUAUCUUGAAUGCAGCUGGGUGGUCAAAAGAAGAGACUUUCAAACGUUUUUACCAUUUCAAAGAUAACAAUGAAUUUAACUUUGGUAGUGCUAUUAUGAAUACACUAUCCUAAUCAAUUGCAUGGUCUAUUUGUAU